CUACGGGUGGCUGCAGUGGGGAAUAUUGGGCAAUGGGCGAAAGCCUGACCCAGCAACGCCGCGUGAUUGAAGAAGGUCUUCGGAUUGUAAAAAUCUGUCCUUGGGGACGAAAAAAAUGACGGUACCCAAGGAGGAAGCCCCGGCUAACUACGUGCCAGCAGCCGCGGUAAUACGUAGGGGGCGAGCGUUGUCCGGAAUUACUGGGCGUAAAGGGUGCGCAGGCGGCGCUUUAAGUCAGAUGUGAAAUACCCAGGCUUAACCUGGGGGGUGCAUUUGAAACUGGAGUGCUUGAGUGCAGGAGAGGAAAGUGGAAUUCCUAGUGUAGCGGUGAAAUGCGUAGAUAUUAGGAGGAACACCAGUGGCGAAGGCGACUUUCUGGACUGUAACUGACGCUGAGGCACGAAAGCGUGGGGAGCAAACAGGAUUAGAUACCCCCGUAGUC
Molecule: ribosomal RNA, 442 nt
Filed under: uncultured bacterium
Lineage: Bacteria
Description: partial 16S ribosomal RNA
Rfam family: Bacterial small subunit ribosomal RNA
Source: RNAcentral